This 251-nucleotide ribosomal RNA is filed under the name uncultured bacterium. RNAcentral's name for it is "partial 16S ribosomal RNA". It matches the Rfam family "Bacterial small subunit ribosomal RNA", at positions 524 to 771 of the family's 1533-position model. The record is from RNAcentral.
UACGGAAGGGCAAGCGUUGUUCGGAAUCAUUGGGCGUAAAGGGCGCGUAGGUGGUUCUGUAUGUCUAUCGUGAAAGCAUACAGCUCAACUGUAUUUUGUCGGUAGAAACUGCAGGACUUGAGGCUGGGAGGGGCUGGUGGAAAUUCCCUGUGUAGCGGUGAAAUGCGUAGAUAUCGGGAGGAACACCUGUGGCGAAAGCGGACUCUCUGGACCACAACGUGACGCUGAGGCGCGAAAAGCUAGGGGAGCAA